UCCCCGGCGUGCGGGCUGGCUCGGGACCGGCCGGCGCGCGUGUGUUCGCGCAGCGGGAGGAGGGUGGGAGGGCGAUUGUGCCCAGGGCCGUGCGCGAGUCCCCGCCUGCCUGGAGGCGGGGAGGCGAGGCCGCGUGUGUGGAGGCAGCUCGCGGGCGGCGGAGGCCCCGGUGUUUGUGUUUGGGGUUUAUCAAUGUGGUGAAGCGCCCAUAAGUGCGGCCACGUGUGUGUUGAGGGAAAACUCAUAUGCGUGUUUGUCUGCAUAGGGUUCGUAGUUGCAUUUUUUUCGGCCUUCCAAUUUGUGUACUGUUGCGUUUGUCAUGCUCAGCUGUCACCGUGAAUUAACACCCCCCAGAUACAUGUAUGCAUGUGAGAUAAGUCUGCCACAGCCUAGAUGUAAUUGUGCAGAAUGUUCUUUUACACCUACCCAUUUCGAAGCACGUGUGUUUGCAUUUAUUUAAUGAAUAUACAGGGGGAGAGCAAUGCAGUUUGAAAAAGCACAGAAUAAACUGAAAUUCUUCAGCCCGGAGCUGUGUACCCAGCGGGCAGACGGCUCAGUCUGUGUAUGUUGUAUAAGUGUCUGGAAUGUACACCUGGUACCGCUCCACUGGCAUCCACAGUUUAAGAAAGUAAAUAGAAGCUUUCAAGGAGGAACAUGAUGUCUUCCUUGGAAGGACCCUUCAUUAGAAGAAAGAAUCCACCACCAGGUGUCUGCUAUUACAUUUCAACUAAUCAGUCCUAAACCGACUCUGCCACUGACUCUCUUCACGGGGGAAAAUUAGUAUUGAAUUUUUGGUAGUUCACUGAGAGAUUUUUGGCAAAAAAUCAUGCAUACAAAGCAUACAACCCAUGCUUCCAUUUACCUGCUGUCAUCCCGGUGGAAUGUUUCCCCAGUCUGACUGAAGUGUUCAUUGACGUCAGUGUUCAGGUUCAAUGGUAACGGUUGGAGAAGACAAGGGAACGAGAACCAGGAAGAGGAAGAGGUGCUGAGAACCGUGGCACAGCACGUAGGAGGUAGUGGAAUAACGCUGCAGUUUACUAGUUGGGGUUAGUAAUGUCCUUAUUUUCCCUCUCACUCUGAACCUUUGCCCUGGAUAAGGGCGGAGUUGAAUUUAGCUUUAAGAGGAGAUUAGUAAGAAGAGAAUAUGAAUGUUGGUUUGACAGGUGGGGUGCGGGAGGCCAUUAAAGCCCAGGGGCCAGCAGCCACGCUAGCGCUUGGUUUUUCUCCACUGUUCAAAACGCGGUGCUUGUAGAUUUCCAUUCUAGAAAAUUUUGUAACAAAAAGUAAGCAAUUUGAGUGUGAAUGUCUAGUAACAACGUGUUGGUGAGGAUGUUCUGCUUAGAAUUUGAUCUUUUUUUUAAGAGAA
This is a long non-coding RNA of Physeter macrocephalus (sperm whale), 1366 nucleotides long. RefSeq lists it as uncharacterized. The record is from RefSeq and is a predicted model, not a curated record. NCBI's taxonomy places the organism in Eukaryota, Metazoa, Chordata, Mammalia, Artiodactyla, Physeteridae. The transcript has 3 exons.